ACGCUCGACACCUACGUAGGCAGCAGUGGGGAAUAUUGCACAAUGGGGGAAACCCUGAUGCAGCGACGCCGCGUGGAGGAAGAAGGUCUUCGGAUUGUAAACUCCUGUUGUUGGGGAAAAAGAGGAUGGUACCCAACAAGGAAGUGACGGCUAACUACGUGCCACAGCCGCGGUAAUCUGAGCGGGCUGGCAAGGC
Molecule: ribosomal RNA, 196 nt
Filed under: uncultured bacterium
Lineage: Bacteria
Description: partial 16S ribosomal RNA
Rfam family: Bacterial small subunit ribosomal RNA
Source: RNAcentral